This is a long non-coding RNA of Mauremys mutica (yellowpond turtle), 412 nucleotides long. RefSeq lists it as uncharacterized. NCBI's taxonomy places the organism in Eukaryota, Metazoa, Chordata, Testudines, Geoemydidae. The record is from RefSeq and is a predicted model, not a curated record. The transcript has 3 exons.
CAAGAGGAGCAUUCUGUGACGUUUGACCUACCAGAACAAAUAGAUAAAUUACCAACAAGCCAGCAGCAGCAGAUGGCACACAUCGUAGAGUUCUGAAGGACCAGUAAGCCUUACUUCAGUACCAGAGAAUUCAAGCAUCUGUUUGGAGGGAAAAACUGGGGAAUUACACACAUUGGCUAAUGUAAAUAAGGAAAAGGGGCAUCAGAAGAGCCCUAACCAAGAGUCUUUCAUCUCAUGGAAAUGAAACCAAGCUGAGCUGCCCCUGCACUUCCCACAGACUCUGGAGCACUUCCCCUGCUGCCUGGGAAUCUCUCCACAAGCUGUACACUGGGGAGGAGCUUGACAACAACCAUUGCCAGAGCAGCUUGUUGGAUGUGUGUGACUGAUGGUGAAAAUGGCCUGAGACAGAUGA